Long non-coding RNA from Equus caballus (horse), 3437 nucleotides. Lineage: Eukaryota; Metazoa; Chordata; Mammalia; Perissodactyla; Equidae. The record is from Ensembl.
GCUGUUUUCCCUUUUACUAGCAAGCUGUAGUAAAGAAACCCUUUCUCUCCUACCACCUUGCCUCCUGACUAUUGGCAGAUCUUGCAGCGAGCAGACAACACCCCUUGGGCCGUAAGAAUUUUACCGCCCCAUGCUUUCCUUGCACAGGAAGCUGCAGAGGAGGCUCUCUCUCCCUCCUGGGCCUAGACUGCGGACUCAGGUCCCUUCUUCCUGCCUUUCCAUCCAGAGGUCUGCCUCUUCUGCUCCCACUGGGCGCCAGGAGCCUGGCCAUUCUGUAGGGAAUCUGUCAUUUGUCACUUAUCCAUCCAUUGAUUCCCCAAGUAUCCCCUGAGCAUCCACGCAGCCUGUGGAGUUCCAUCCCGAGAGGAAGAACCCCCAGGAAACAGGCUCCAGCUUUGUAGGCGGAAAAGGACAACGGCAGGGAGGGAGGGCAGCUGCCCCAGCUUGGCCUAGCAGGGCGGGCUUCCCGGAGAAGGAAAGUCUGAGCUGAGCGGGGAAAGGAGACCCGCAGGCAGGCGGAGAGAAGAGAAAAAGGAGGCAAACCUAGAUGCAAAACAGAGCGACCCCCUUUGGGCUAAUGGGGGAAUGCCCUCGGGCUUCCAGAGCUGCGGGAAAAGAAAAACAAUCGAAUUGAGAAGCCUCGCCAAACAGCAACCCAGUGAAACCUACGUGAGGACGUGGAGAGAAAAGACCCCAUUCUUGUGGGCCCUUCUUGCCUCCUUCCUCUCCUCCAAGAAGGGCAAGGUAAGACUCUCCUGCCUACCGCGGACUGGCCCUUCCUUGGGACAGUCGAUGUCCAGUUAGCAGGACCCUACGGAAGACGAGACUGGGCUUUGAUGAGGACACCUCGGGUGAGAAAGGUGUGCAGAAGGGCUUGGGGGGUCGGAGGAGACGACUUGGGGAGGAGGGGCCAAGACCGGUUCGUCCAGCUCUCCUCCCAGGAGGUGGGAACCAGUCCCUGCGGAACAGCGCCCCCUCCUGGCCGUGGGGCGAGCGGGAGGCUUCUCAGGUGCACGGAGGAGGGGAGGAUUGCUCGGGAGCCCAUCUGUUUUCUCCGCAAUUAUUGCAUCCCAGAGGCCUUCUUCCAGCUGCAUAACUUCCCAGAGAGGACACUGAACAGGCGGUGAGCAGAUCUGUGGAGGCCACGCAGGGGAACUGCAGCCGGACCCGGGCCACGUUCCAGCACUGCCCCGGGCCUUCGGUUUCACCACCUGUAAUUGGGAAAAAGCGAUCCUUGCCUCCUGGACCGGGGCAGAGUGAAUCAAGAGGCCCGAUGAGAGGCUUCCGACCCCUGGGCGAAGGCAGGAGGAAGCAGCUGGGGCAGAAAGGGGAUCUGAAUGUCACCGCAGGAACAUACACCCUCCCUGGAGGGAGGACCCCGUACUCAUGGCACUCCCCAGGACCAUUUGGUGGUAGGGAGCCACAGAGGACACAGAGGCCAUGGCUUGGCGGGGCCUCCUUGAGUUCGGUGCCUCCUCUGGGAGUCCUCCACCUACGGGGCCUGGCCUUAGAAGAAGAGCUGGAGGCCAAGGAAGCGUCAUCCUUCUUUCCCAGGCCAGAAAUUCCAGGAAAGCUUAACCUCAUCAUGCCAUGAGGGCUUUGUCUGACCCCAGGACACCCCCACCUGAUGAGCCAGCUGCCCUCCUUCCCCUUUCCCAGGGGCCCUGCCAGCACCUGCUCCAGAUGGCCUCCAACCCCGCUGUCCUACGCAGCCCCAUGACGUCAGAGUUUAUCCCUCCUUUUUUUUUUUUUUGUUUCCCCUUUUAAAAAAUAAAAGAUAGGCUCAGUUCCCUGGGGGGAACAACUGCUCCCCACAUGGCUAUCAACAGGCAGGUGAGGGAGUAGAGGCUGUGGCCUGAACCCUGAGAAAGUGAGCAGGCUUGUGAGGGAGAGGGGCCUUCCCAGCAGAAGACGGUUCAGCAUCCCGACCUCAGCGUGGAGCAUGCACCAGAUGUUUGCAGAAGGAAUGGAUCUGCUGCCAGGCUCUGUGCCUUGGGGACCGGGCCUGCCUUGGCUGGGCUCUUGUAAAACAUUGGUCAUAUGGAGCUUUUCCAAGCCGGGAGCUGCUUCUUGCUGCUCUGGGGGUCCCUGCACUGAGCCCACCUUCUUGGUGUGGACCUAGAGGAGACUGUUGUGUGGUUUGGAAGACCAUGUUUCAGAUUUGUUGGAGGUCACAGUCUUCAAGGAAGGGGGCUUCUCCCUAAGGACAGAGGGGACCCGAGUGUCUUACAAAAGCCCCUUAACUUGGCACCUUCACAGAAGGGAUCAUGGGACGGGCCUGCCAGGAUCCAGGCCCACCACUCAGCUCAAGAAGCCACGUCUCUGGGUUUUCCAAGCCAGAAACUCCCCUGCAGAUUUCUGCCCCGUGAGUGUGUGAUCACCAACUGCUUUCUGAUCCAAAUGUGUUUCUCAAGCAGAACAGGCUUCACGGAGCUAAGAGAAACACAAUGUGUCAGAGGAAUUGCUGGUUGAGAGCUCUGAGGAUGUGAGCGCUCUGUGGUAUCUCUUUAUCAGCUCUGGGCCGAUGGGCAUGACCUGCUAUAUGUUUAAUGUACUUUCUUCCAGCUUCUCUGUUCAUGCUACAUCUUUAUUUGUAUUUGUCAGAGACCCUCAUAGUUGCCUUAAGUUGUCUUCCUUUAAUUUCUAAGGAUUUUCUUAAAUAUUUUUAUCAGUUUGUUAAUAUUUUGAUGUUAUUUUUCAUAUUUACAGUGAAGUGUUCUUUCACUCCAUCGCUUUUCUUUGUGUUUAUAUACAGAUGUUUACAAAUUUUAAAAAUGCAUUAUAUUCUUAUAGCCUCCCGUGGUUUUUUUAAUGACAUGCUUGGACAGUUAAACUUGACUCAGGUCUUUCUCCCGAGGGGCCAUCUGUUCCCAGAGGUACCGCACUGCAUCUGCAGCAUCCAGCCUGGGAAAUCUACGAAGAGGCGAAAACUGUGGACCACAAAGUGCUUUCGAUUCUUGUGAAUUGGGUAUUUUUACCUACGUUGUGCAGAUAGGAAAUUGAGCUCAGAGAUGUUAAAUAUUUGAGUAAGCAUCUCAGGUGGGACCCAAACUCAGAGGUCUGUCUGCUCCGAAACCCACAAUUUGUCCUGACAGCAGUGUCUCAGCAGACUGGGUGAACAUACAUUGCUAUAUUCUUCUGUUGUGGGUUUUUUUUUUUAAUGGUGUGUGUGUGUAUUUAACUUUAACCUCUCUGGAAUGUUCUGUGGUAAAUGGUCUGAGUAAGGAUUUGCUAUUCACCUGUUAUUAUUACCCAUUUCCCAUAUAAACGUAGUGAUACUAUUUCUUUCAUCAUUUUAAAAUUUUUGCUCAACUUGUUAUAUAUUAAACUCAAAUAAAUAUGUUCACAUCUGCUCUACCAUAAAGUUUUGACAACUGCCACAUAUGUUUUACAGACUGGUAGUAUUUCCCUGGUUUUGCCUCAAAAUAAAAAAAUUU